Panonychus citri (citrus red mite) is the source of this 1736-nucleotide long non-coding RNA. RefSeq lists it as uncharacterized. NCBI's taxonomy places the organism in Eukaryota, Metazoa, Arthropoda, Arachnida, Trombidiformes, Tetranychidae. The transcript is spliced from 2 exons. The record is from RefSeq and is a predicted model, not a curated record.
UUUUGUUUUAUUAAAUUUUUCGUCAUUGAUAAAAUUACAAUUCGGUCAAAUAUCCGUAAAAAAUUGAGGACAUUAUUGUUUAUCCCACUGAAUAAACUUCAAGCAAAUGCAUCAAUAGAAAUAGUUUUUCUCGUAGCUGAGCAAUUGAAUGAACCAUCACCAUGCGAUCUACCAACGAAUUCAACUGGGAAAUUACAGAGAGAAAACUAGAGGAAAAAAAACAAAGCAUCCAAAUGAAAUGCUCAUUAUAAUCAGUGAAAGUGAAAUAAUUUCUAAAAUCAUUUAUUUUAUAUUCUAUUUUUAAAUAGAUUGUAAAGGAAUGAAUCUACCAUGAUUAAAAGAGAACAGAGAAAAAGAAAAAUUUUAUUAUUACAAAAGAAAAUUUUGCUUGAAGAGGAAGAGCUUUUUGACGAUUUUAGAUCGUAAAGAUCAACAAGAAAAGGAAAAGAGAAAAUUAAAAUUACGAGCAAAAGAAAUUGGUGAACCUUCAUCAUGUUUACCUGAGAUUUGUGAUCAUCCUUUAUGGUUGGAGAUAAAUAAAACGACUUCUGACCAAUUGAAACAAGCUCGAUUAGAGGUCGGUGAAGAUGAUGGUGAGACAACCGGUGGUUGGGAAUUAUUUGCCGCCGAAGGUGAUAUGAGACUUUACAAGAGAGAUCUUGUUGUCGAUGGGCUUGUCUGUGAUCCAUUGAAAGCUGUCCACACAGUUCGAGGUAUAACUGGACAUGAAGUUUGUUAUCAUUUCUUUAGUCCUGAUGUCCGAUGGGAUUGGGAAAACACUUUAGAAUCAAUGAAAGUCGUUGAAGAAAUCAAUUCAAAUUCGUGUGUACAGUUUGCCAUAGCAAAUUAAUUCGGGUUGUUGUUGAUGUUGAUGAUGAUGAUGAUGGUAAUCAAGUUGAUGGAUUAUGAGAUGAUGAUUAUUAUUUCAGGUGAAAAUGAAUGAUCAGAAUGAGAAUGAAUCAGGAAUAAAAUCAAGAGUCGAUAAAGGUUAACGAUACUCUGAAAGGUUAGAUGAUCGCACGUUAAUUAUUAAUACAAUUAACUUACGAUCUUUGUCCAUUUCUUAAACUUAUUCACCAUUUCAUUCAUAGACUAAUCAAAACUUGAGAUAAACUCAUUUAAAAUGAUAACCUGUUUAUUAAUUUGAAUAUAAGCUCGAACUUUUCGAACUCAUUUUCACUCACUUACAAUGAACUUGACAAUGUCUCGAUUUUUAAUUUUUCUAUUAUUAAUUAAUUUUUCUUGUGCUAAUUUUCCCAUUGUUUUCAGAAGUGAAAAACCACCUAAUACUCAAGAGGCUGGAUCGAAUGGACUAACUGAUGAUAUCCAAUCAAAUCUUCAAAAAGUCAUUUCCUUGAGGCCAUUGUUCAAUCUCAGCCGGAUUAUUGGAGUGACUGGUGGAUUAGUUACUGUGACACUUGCAUUUAUUGAAUUCCUUGAGUCUGUCAUGGUUCAGAUUUGUUCAGUGUAUGAAUGCUCAGCGAUUUUUUAUGUGAAUUCAAAAUACUCAAAGCACUUCCCCGAGCCUCGUCAUUAUCCUAACGAUGAAUAAAUACCAGAAUAACGUGUUGAUGAUUUCCAAAAAUGAUUCACAACAAUCAGCUGAUUACCUUUUACCAUUUACCUGAAUAUUAUCAAAAUUGAUCGUUUAAUGAUGAUCAAAUUAUUCAUUUGUAUGAUUAUUAAUUAAUAAUAAACGAGAUUAUCAAUAUAACCAAAUGAUAAAUGUCACUAAA